RNAcentral lists this ribosomal RNA (407 nucleotides) under uncultured bacterium. RNAcentral describes it as "partial 16S ribosomal RNA". It matches the Rfam family "Bacterial small subunit ribosomal RNA", at positions 28 to 526 of the family's 1533-position model. The record is from RNAcentral.
GAUGAACGCUAGCUACAGGCUUAACACAUGCAAGUCGAGGUACCGGCGUACGGGUGAGUAACGCGUCUCCCACCUUCCCAUUACUGUGGGAUAACCUGCCGAAAGGCAGACUAAUACUGCCUAGUAAUGGAUGGGGAUGCGUCUGAUUAGCUUGUUGGCGGGGUAACGGCCCACCAAGGCGACGAUCAGUAGGGGUUCUGAGAGGAAGGUCACCCACAUUGAAACUGAGACACGGUCCAAACGCCUACGGGAGGCAGCAGUGAGGAAUAGUGGUCAAUGGACGGAAGUCUGAACCAGCCAAGUAGCGUGCAGGAUGACGGCAUAUGGGUUGUAAACUAUUUAUGUAUGGGGAUAGGUACCAUAUGAAUAAGAACAGGCUAAUUCCGUGCCAGCAGCCGCGGUAAUUC